Meriones unguiculatus (Mongolian gerbil) is the source of this 419-nucleotide non-coding RNA. The record is from the annotation of a RefSeq genome assembly. Lineage: Eukaryota; Metazoa; Chordata; Mammalia; Rodentia; Muridae.
GCAGGGGGAGCAACAUGAAGUCACAGACCCAGGUCCUCAUAUCCCUGCUGCUAUGGGUGUCUGGUGCCUGUGCAGAUAUUGUGAUGACUCAGUCUCCAUCCUCCCUGGCUGUGUCAGCAGGAGAGAAGGUCUCCAUCAGCUGCAGGUCCAGUCAGAGCCUUUAUCACAGCAGCAGCAAAAAGAACUUAUUGUACUGGUACCAGCAGAAACCAGGACAGUCUCCUAAGCUGCUGAUCUACCAUGCAUCCACUCGGUAUAAGAUUCUGUUGGGAGUGGCUGCAUUGUCUUCUUCUGUGGCCUGUGACUAGGAUCAGAAGGAAGGAAAAGAAGAGCUCCCCUAUCAGGAGACUUGGGAAGGAGCAUGCAUGUAGAGGGUAGAGGAAGAGAGCGAUUGGGACUGGAGGAGGGACGGAACCACA